RNAcentral lists this ribosomal RNA (305 nucleotides) under uncultured bacterium. Its description in RNAcentral is "bacterial SSU rRNA". It matches the Rfam family "Bacterial small subunit ribosomal RNA", at positions 333 to 655 of the family's 1533-position model. The record is from RNAcentral.
UUUUGCCUACGGGGCGCAGCAGUGGGGAAUAUUGCACAAUGGGGGGAACCCUGAUGCAGCGACGCCGCGUGAGUGAAGAAGUAUUUCGGUAUGUAAAGCUCUAUCAGCAGGGAAGAAGAUGACGGUACCUGACUAAGAAGCCCCGGCUAACUACGUGCCAGCAGCCGCGGUAAUACGUAGGGGGCAAGCGUUAUCCGGGUUUACUGGGUGUAAAGGGAGCGUAGACGGCAGGGCAAGUCUGGAGUGAAAGCCCGGGGCCCAACCCCGGGACUGCUUUGGAAACUGCCAUGCUAGAGGGCUGGAGG